Molecule: ribosomal RNA, 785 nt
Filed under: Kaloula baleata (brown bullfrog)
Lineage: Eukaryota; Metazoa; Chordata; Amphibia; Anura; Microhylidae
Description: partial large subunit ribosomal RNA
Rfam family: Bacterial large subunit ribosomal RNA
Source: RNAcentral
CUAUGCUAAUUCCACCAAUUAACCAAAACCCUUAACCAAUACUGAAUGACUCCAUAAACAUAUGGAAUACUAUAUGCUAGAACUAGUAAUAAGAAGAAGACCUUCUCCAAAAUAUAAGUGUGAGCCGAAAUGAACAAUUCACCGGCAUUUAACGCAACUGAACUAAUAGUAGUAACUAAAACAAGAAAACCCUACUACAUGCUGCGUCAACCUUACACUAGAAUAUUCCAGGAAAGAUUAAAAGAAAAGGAAGGAACUCGGCAAACCUAAUAACCCCGCCUGUUUACCAAAAACAUCGCCUCUUGCAAAAAUAUAAGAGGUCCAGCCUGCCCAGUGACAAAGUUAAACGGCCGCGGUACCCUAACCGUGCGAAGGUAGCGCAAUCACUUGUUCUUUAAAUGAGGACUAGUAUGAAUGGCAUCACGAGGGUUACACUGUCUCCCUUUUCCAAUCAAUGAAACUGACCUCCCCGUGAAGAGGCGGGGAUAAAACUAUAAGACGAGAAGACCCCAUGGAGCUUUAAACUCAGUAUCAACUAUCUAACUAUAUACCAUCAAAAUUUGAUAGCUCUGACCACUAGUUUUCGGUUGGGGUGACCGCGGAGMAAAACAAAACCUCCACGAUGAACGGACCAAUGUUCCUAAUCAUAGAGCCACAGCUCAAAGAAUCAAAAAAUUGACAUAAAUUGAUCCAAUUAAUUUUGAUCAACGAACCAAGUUACCCUGGGGAUAACAGCGCAAUCCACUUCAAAAGCUCCUAUCGACAAGUGGGUUUACGACCUCGAU